This 330-nucleotide ribosomal RNA is filed under the name uncultured bacterium. RNAcentral's name for it is "bacterial SSU rRNA". It matches the Rfam family "Bacterial small subunit ribosomal RNA", at positions 568 to 898 of the family's 1533-position model. The record is from RNAcentral.
UGUGUAGGCGGUUGGAUAAGUGUGGUGCGAAAUCUCCCGGCUUAACUGGGAGGGUGCGCUACAAACUGUCUGACUAGAGUGCGGGAUGGGAAAGUGGAAUUCCUGGUGUAGCGGUGAAAUGCGUAGAUAUCAGGAGGAACACCGGUGGUGUAGACGGCUUUCUGGACCGUAACUGACGCUGAAACACGAAAGCGUGGGUAGCAAACAGGAUUAGAUACCCUGGUAGUCCACGCCCUAAACGAUGCAUAUUUGGUGUGGGUCAUUCAUUUGAUCCGUGCCGGAGCUAACGCGUUAAAUAUGCCGCCUGGGGAGUACAGUCGCAAGGCUGAA